Long non-coding RNA from Pseudophryne corroboree (corroboree frog), 1324 nucleotides. RefSeq lists it as uncharacterized. The record is from RefSeq and is a predicted model, not a curated record. The transcript has 3 exons. NCBI's taxonomy places the organism in Eukaryota, Metazoa, Chordata, Amphibia, Anura, Myobatrachidae.
AAAGCCACCCUGAGUGCGGAGAAAUGCAUUGAGGAAACAUAGAACGGGACGCCUGGAAUUACCACUGUGCACAGGAGAAGCCUAUUGCCUGGUGCCAACUGGGCAUACACUUGGCUCCUUAUAUUAUCAUCACACUGCGGGUAACACCGGAUCUAGACUGACAUCGCUGCACAGCGGCUCUCUGCACUGACAUAUCCACCGCGUAGCCACCAGCGCCGGUGUGCAGGAACCCCAUACAGCUGGAAUCUGGUUAAUUUAUGGCUGGUCAAGCGAAUGGAUAAACCACACAGCUCCUGCACUUGCAGCUCGUAUUGCUGACAGUAUAGCAACAAAGUCUGGUGGGCCGCUUGAAACUGCUUUUGGUGUUCAACAGUUUAGCCACUACAGUGAGCCGCAUUAACAACAUUGGCACCCUGCUACUGUGAUAAUACAGCCGGAGGACACACAUUUAUCCCUUCAUUAUGGGCUACACAAUAUGGAUUAUGGUGUCAGAGACUGAGUGAACUAUUCUGAGAGUCUCCACCUAACACCAGCAAUUGUGGUUUUCCAUGAAUCAUUGGCAAUGCUGCAGGAGUGUCUCAUUAGGCAAUCUAAAAUAUACCACGACUAUGGGUGGGGAUACAGUAGAUUUAUGAUGAUUCAUUCAAAGUUGUCUUAUGGACUGGAAUAGAACUCUUAGAUGCACACCUGUUACUAUCUAUUGGAGCCCAUCUGAGCUAUAUGACCCGUCCCGGCAGCGGCCUGUCAGCUAGUCCAAGCUAUUACAAGGGGAGACCGCUUUGGAUGUCUGGUUGCCAUGGCAACUUGAGUGUGGACGGUGCCCGGACGGAUGACGCUUCGAUACGCCGGGUUGCCAUGGUAACGCGCAAACAGACUCGAGAGCAGAAGUGAUGGAAUCACGCUUCCGGUAUCCAUGGUAACCCGACGACGGAUGCACACCGGGAGGAGUGUAUCGUAAUGAGACAGCGCUGCAUAAGAUUGGGCAUUAGAGAUGUUAAAUACUAAAGAGGGAAACGGAAGAUGGUAUCCAGCCUUGAAAAAGACUCCGGAAAGGAGUUGAAACGCGUCGGCAUUUUCGGCAUCUGUGGGCUACGUCCAGUGGAAGUGCAUGCUGAUUCAAGGACCAGGGUAAUUCCAGUCAUCUGCCUGGGCGGAAUCUGGUGUUUAAGAACUUGAUUGAGAACUUUUUGUGGGUUCUCUAUCGCUCUGGUAAUUGUUGCAUUCAUUUCCCCUGUGUUCCACACAUAUGGAUGUCUGAUACCAUCACUUUGUGUCAAUUGUACUUGUCCUGUUAUUGUGUGUUGUAUUAAAACUGUAUUACACA